Molecule: long non-coding RNA, 1136 nt
Filed under: Nicotiana benthamiana
Lineage: Eukaryota; Viridiplantae; Streptophyta; Magnoliopsida; Solanales; Solanaceae
Description: long non-coding RNA (NBEN_LNC017277)
Source: RNAcentral
GGUCCGGUCUGGGCCGGGUUUGACCGGGCCGGUCCGUGCCGGUCCCGGGUCAACCCGGCCCGGUUGACACCUCUAGUUCCAAUAGAAUGUUGUACAUUUUUGCCUUUUGACAACCCCUUAUCCAUCACCCUGCUUCCUGUAAUGUCAGCCUUUUGUUUGUUAUCCUCCGCUAUCCCAGCAGUUUUAACCACCUCAUCAUUAUGCUUGCCUUUUGGUAUCCAUUUCCAGUUAUCUCUUUGCAAUUACUUAUUUUCCCCUGUUACCUUUGAAUGAUUCUGUAUUAACUCUUCACUUCCCUGCAUCUUCUUAUACCAGCAAUCAUCAGAGUUAUGGCCAAACCUUACACAGUCACAACAGUAUUUUGGCUUCUAUUCACAUACAAUCUGUUGAGUGAUAACUCCCCUCUUAGUAUGUAGUUCAAAACUAUCUGGCAAAGGUUGAGAUAUGUCUGUUUCCACCAAUACUCUUGCAUAAGAUAUCUUCUCCAAUUCAGCAGUAAAUCUCUCAGUGUACAUAGGCUUCCCAACCACACUAGCUAGCUAACUAAGGGCUUCAGUUGACCAAAAACCCAAAGGCAAGCCAGGGAAGGUAAUCCACAGAGGAAUUACACUCACACUACCUGGAUCAAAUCUAAAGUCCAUUCUCCACUGUUGUAGCACAAAUGGCUUGUUAUGGAAAGUGUAAGGACAUGCCUGAAGGACAAGGUCCCUGUCUUCACUAUUAUUGAAUCUGAAAAUAUAGUAUCCAUCCUCAUGAUGCAGCACUUGAGGUUUUUCAACAAAAUCCCAUACAUUUGUGAUGUAAUUAUCCAUUGCUCGCUCAUCGGUUAUUCUCCAAGCACAAAUCCUAUCAAUGCAUUGCUCCAGUAUGCCUCUUGUUCCUUUGUAUCCUCGUAUUCAAUUUGUACCACAAAUGUACCAUCCCUCAUAGAAGGUGGAACAUAGCACAUCGGCUUCCCUUUUUUAGAGCUUCGAUUCAUCUACAUGGCUUCCCUCUUACCUUCAAAAUCCUUAGAAUCUCCACAAACCUGGCAGAUCUGAUCUAUCUUUGCUUGUGCUGAAAAUUGAAGUCGUCGAUGGACUUGUUGUGCUUCGGCAUUUUCUGUCACCAAAUUUCCUUCCUCGCCUUCGUCAAUU